CCCAUGGCUCAGAUUGAACGCUGGCGGCAGGCCUAACACAUGCAAGUCGAGCGGAUGACAGGAGCUUGCUCCUGAAUUCAGCGGCGGACGGGUGAGUAAUGCCUAGGAAUCUGCCUGGUAGUGGGGGACAACGUUUCGAAAGGAACGCUAAUACCGCAUACGUCCUACGGGAGAAAGCAGGGGACCUUCGGGCCUUGCGCUAUCAGAUGAGCCUAGGUCGGAUUAGCUAGUUGGUGAGGUAAUGGCUCACCAAGGCGACGAUCCGUAACUGGUCUGAGAGGAUGAUCAGUCACACUGGAACUGAGACACGGUCCAGACUCCUACGGGAGGCAGCAGUGGGGAAUAUUGGACAAUGGGCGAAAGCCUGAUCCAGCCAUGCCGCGUGUGUGAAGAAGGUCUUCGGAUUGUAAAGCACUUUAAGUUGGGAGGAAGGGCAUUAACCUAAUACGUUAGUGUUUUGACGUUACCGACAGAAUAAGCACCGGCUA
This 488-nucleotide ribosomal RNA is filed under the name Pseudomonas sp. CL4.116. RNAcentral describes it as "bacterial SSU rRNA". It matches the Rfam family "Bacterial small subunit ribosomal RNA", at positions 16 to 499 of the family's 1533-position model. Lineage: Bacteria; Pseudomonadati; Pseudomonadota; Gammaproteobacteria; Pseudomonadales; Pseudomonadaceae. The record is from RNAcentral.